AAUAUUUACUAUCUUGCCCGUUACAGAAAAUGUUUGCCAAACCCAUGUUAUGUAUGUGAAUCACUUGAGCUUUAGAGAUGUACAAAUAUUCAACACUACCCUUAAGUAAUUUAGACUUAAUUAGUCUCUGGUGAGGCCUAAAUAUCAGUAUUUAAAAAAAAAAAAUUCUAAUGCUGCAGCCAAUCUAUGUAGGAAGCCAAAGUAACCAGAAGGUUGUGAGGAAAUCAUGGAUGCAGAACAAAGAGAAUCAAGAAAGUAACUUGAGUACCCGUCCUCCCAGUCCAUGCCUGUCAGCAUACAGGCCACUUGAGUCAGCAUGCCAAGGCACAUUCUUCUGAGUCAGCGCUCAUCCCUGUUCCUAUUCACCUCUGUGACCUUGAUGUUCCUACGUUUCCAAACUUAACCAGCUACUCUGUUGAUUGGCACAUUCUUCCUGUGCAUUCACCAGUUAAUCCUGCCUUAUCAGCCUGAGGCCCAUUCUGUCUCUCUAACAUGAUUUUGUUUAUGUCUGUUCUGAGUCACUAUGUGCUGCUUUAAUAGGUUUCUUAAGACCAAUCUGAUUUUUCUGUUUUGUUGUUUUCCAAAAUGUUUCCUAGUUGCCUCAGUGCCCGUGCCUUAGACAGCUUACAUUCCAAUUGCUGCUUUUCUUGGGUAUCUUUGCAUCUCCAGCCUGACAUCAACUAGUCAGUUAAGUGUUUGGUGGAUGGGCUCAUUGGUAGCUGAAUAAGUGAACGGAUGAAUGAGUGGGGAAGAAAAGUUGGAAAAAAAAAUACAGGAGGAAUUUUGUAGACUAUGUAUUGUGAGUACAGUGAAUUUUAAUGCUCUAGAGCUUACAGACUAUAAAUAAUGAUUUAUUAUAAAACGUGCUAACAAAUCAGAAUGUCCAGAUUCAAAUCCUGACUCUGCUAUUUUCUCUGGAAAGCCCCAUGGGAAGAUCCCUUUGCCUUUAUUAAUAAGACUGUGGAUAUCUGUAAGGUGGGAAGAGUAACACACACUUCACAGAAUAGUAUGGGGAUGACUUAUCAAAUACAGUAGCACCUACUGUGAUGCCUGACUCAUAAUAGCUUCUAAAUAGUCUCCUUCUUCUUCCUUCUAUUUAGCUAAGGCAUCCUUUUGCACUUAAAAGGACCUGA
Molecule: long non-coding RNA, 1133 nt
Filed under: Macaca fascicularis (crab-eating macaque)
Lineage: Eukaryota; Metazoa; Chordata; Mammalia; Primates; Cercopithecidae
Description: lncRNA (ENSMFAG00000051505.1)
Source: RNAcentral